This 435-nucleotide ribosomal RNA is filed under the name uncultured bacterium. Its description in RNAcentral is "partial 16S ribosomal RNA". It matches the Rfam family "Bacterial small subunit ribosomal RNA", at positions 28 to 507 of the family's 1533-position model. The record is from RNAcentral.
GAUGAACGCUGGCGGUAUGCUUAACACAUGCAAGUCGAACGGACUCUUCGGAGUUAGUGGCGGACGGGUGAGUAACGCGUGAGAAUCUGGCUUUGGGUUCGGGACAACCACUGGAAACGGUGGCUCAUACCGGAUGUGCCGAGAGGUAAAAGAGAAAUUGCCUGAAGAUGAGCUCGCGUCUGAUUAGCUAGUUGGUGAGGUAAAGGCUCACCAAGGCAGCGAUCAGUAGCUGGUCUGAGGGGAUGACCAGCCACACGGGGCCUGAGACACGGCCCAGACUCCUGCGGGAGGGAGGAGUGGGGAAUUGUCCGAAAGGGGCGAGAGCCUGACGGAGCAGUACCGCGUGAGGGAAGAAGGCUCUGGGGUUGUAAAGCUCUUUUCUUAGGGAAGAACAAAAUGACGGUACCUAAGGAAGCAGCAUCGGCUAACUACGUG